Molecule: ribosomal RNA, 468 nt
Filed under: uncultured bacterium
Lineage: Bacteria
Description: partial 16S ribosomal RNA
Rfam family: Bacterial small subunit ribosomal RNA
Source: RNAcentral
GACGAACGCUGGCGGCGUGCUUAACACAUGCAAGUCGAACGGAAAGGCGCUGCUUUUGUGGGGUGCUCGAGUGGCGAACGGGUGAGUAACACGUGAGUAACCUGCCCUUGACUUUGGGAUAACUUCAGGAAACUGGGGCUAAUACCGGAUAGGAGCUACUGCUGCAUGGUGGGGGUUGGAAAGUUUCGGCGGUUGGGGAUGGACUCGCGGCUUAUCAGCUUGUUGGUGGGGUAGUUGCUUACAAAGGCUUUGACGGGUAGCCGGCCUGAGAGGGUGACCGGCCACAUUGGGACUGAGAUACGGCCCAGACUCCUACGGGAGGCAGCAGUGGGGAAUAUUGCACAAUGGGCGGAAGCCUGAUGCAGCAACGCUGCGUGCGUGAUGACGGCCUUCGGGUUGUAAACCGCUUUCGCCUGUGACGAAGCGUGAUUGACGGUAAUGAGUAAAGAAGCACCGGCUAACUACGUG